GGGUCAGUAGGUUGGUCGUGCCACCGGUACGUACUGGUCUCACUGAUUCCUCCUUCCUGAAGAACCGUAAUGCCAUUAAUUUGGUGUUGCGGGGAAACAGGAUUGUUACUUUGAAAAGAUUAGAGUGUUUAAAGCAAGCUAACGCUUGAAUACAUUAGCAUGGAAUAAUGAAAUAGGACGAUCGAUCCUAUUUUGUUGGUUUCUAGGAUUGACGUA
This 216-nucleotide ribosomal RNA is filed under the name Glomeromycotina sp. RNAcentral describes it as "partial small subunit ribosomal RNA". The stretch from base 40 to 216 matches the Rfam family "Eukaryotic small subunit ribosomal RNA", at positions 686 to 864 of the family's 1831-position model. The record is from RNAcentral. Lineage: Eukaryota; Fungi; Glomeromycota.